RNAcentral lists this ribosomal RNA (456 nucleotides) under uncultured bacterium. RNAcentral describes it as "bacterial SSU rRNA". It matches the Rfam family "Bacterial small subunit ribosomal RNA", at positions 767 to 1217 of the family's 1533-position model. The record is from RNAcentral.
AGCUAAUAGAUACCCGGGUAGUCCACGCCCUAAACGAUGUCUACUAGUUGUUGGUGGAGUAAAAAUCCAUGAGUAAACGCAGCUAAACGCGUGAAGUAGACCGCCUGGGGAGUACGGUCGCAAGAUUAAAACUCAAAGGAAUUGACGGGGGCCCGGCACAAGCGGUGGAUUAUGUGGAUUAAAUUCGAUGCAACGCGAAAAACCUUACCUGGCCUUGACAUGCCACUAACGAAGCAGAGAUGCAUUAGGUGCCCGUAACGGGAAAGUGGACACAGGUGCUGCAUGGCUGUCGUCAGCUCGUGUCGUGAGAUGUUGGGUUAAGUCCCGCAACGAGCGCAACCCUUGCCAUUAAUUGCCAUCAUUUAAGUUGGGUCACUUUAAUGGGACUGCCGGUGACAAACCCGGAGGAAGGUGGGGAUGACGUCAAGUCCUCAUGGCCCUUAUGGCCAGGGCUUC